This 480-nucleotide ribosomal RNA is filed under the name uncultured bacterium. RNAcentral's name for it is "partial 16S ribosomal RNA". It matches the Rfam family "Bacterial small subunit ribosomal RNA", at positions 28 to 523 of the family's 1533-position model. The record is from RNAcentral.
GACGAACGCUGGCGGCGUGCUUAACACAUGCAAGUCGAGCGAUGAAGCACCUUCGGGUGUGGAUUAGCGGAGAACGGGUGAGGAACACGUGAGGAAUCUGCCUUCCACUCUGGGAUAACUCCGGGAAACCGGGGCUAAUACCGGAUAUUUUCAACUGGCGGCAUCGCCGGUUGAAGAAAGUUUUUCGGUGGAAGAUGACCUCGCGGCCUAUCAGCUUGUUGGUGAGGUAAAGGCUCACCAAGGCGACGACGGGUAGCCGGCCUGAGAGGGUGACCGGCCACACUGGGACUGAGACACGGCCCAGACUCCUACGGGAGGCAGCAGUGGGGAAUAUUGGGCAAUGGAGGAAACUCUGACCCAGCGACGCCGCGUGAGGGAUGAAGGCCUUCGGGUUGUAAACCUCUUUCAGCAGGGAAUAAGCGAAAGUGAAGGUACCUGCAGAAGAAGCACCGGCUAACUAUGUGCCAGCCGCCGCCGUAA